AGUGAACGCUGGCGGCGUGCUUAACACAUGCAAGUCGAACGAGAAACGGAUUUAGCUUGCUAAAUUGCAGUCUAAGUGGCGCACGGGUGAGUAAUGUAUAGGUAAUAUGCCUCUUACUAAGGGAUAACAAUUGGAAACGAUUGCUAAUACCUUAUAUGCCUUUAAUACGAAAGUAUGCAAGGGUAAGAUUUAUUGGUAAGAGAUUAGCCUGUAUGGUAUCAGCUUGUUGGUGAGGUAAUGGCUCACCAAGGCUAUGACGCCUAACUGGUUUGAGAGGGUGAUCAGUCACACUGGAACUGAGACACGGUCCAGACUCCUACGGGAGGCAGCAGUGGGGAAUAUUGCACAAUGGACGAGAGUCUGAUGCAGCAACGCCGCGUGGAGGAUGACACAUUUCGGUGCGUAAACUCCUUUUAUAUAGGAAGAUAAUGACGGUACUAUAUGAAUAAGCACCGGCUAACUCCGUGCCAGCCGCCGCGGUAA
This 483-nucleotide ribosomal RNA is filed under the name uncultured bacterium. RNAcentral describes it as "partial 16S ribosomal RNA". It matches the Rfam family "Bacterial small subunit ribosomal RNA", at positions 29 to 523 of the family's 1533-position model. The record is from RNAcentral.